Molecule: ribosomal RNA, 329 nt
Filed under: uncultured eukaryote
Lineage: Eukaryota
Description: partial 18S ribosomal RNA
Rfam family: Eukaryotic small subunit ribosomal RNA
Source: RNAcentral
CCCUUAGAUGUUCUGGGCCGCGCGCGCGCUACACUGAUGCAUUCAACGAGUCUAAAACCUGCUCUGAUAGGGGUGGGUAAUCUUUUGAAUGUGCAUCGUGAUUGGGAUAGAUGAUUGCAAUUUUUCAUCUUCAACGAGGAAUGCCUAGUAAACGCAAGUCAUCAGCUUGCAUUGAUUACGUCCCUGCCCUUUGUACACACCGCCCGUCGCUCCUACCGAUUGAAUGAUCCGAUGAAUAUCAUGGAUUGAGGAUGCAAGUAGGUUAGCCUAUCUACAUCUUCGAGAAGUGAAGUAAAUCUUAUCAUUUAGAGGAAGGAGAAGUCGUAACA